UAGAGUUUGAUCCUGGCUCAGAACGUACGCUGGCGGCACGCCUAACACAUGCAAGUCGAACGAAGUAGCAAUACUUAGUGGCAGACGGGUGAGUAACAUGUAGGUAUCUGCCCUUUGGCCUGGAAUAACACGAGGAAACUUGUGCUAAUACCGGAUAAGUCUUUACGGAGAAAGCUUUAUGCACCAUUGGAUGAGCCUGCACUUGAUUAGUUUGUUGGUGGGGUAAUGGCCUACCAAGACUGUGAUCAAUAGCUGAUUUGAGAGGAUGAUCAGCCACAUUGGGACUGAGACACGGCCCAAACUCCUACGGGAGGCAGCAGUGGGGAAUCUUGCACAAUGGAGGAAACUCUGAUGCAGCGAUGCCGCGUGAGUGAAGAAGGCCCUUGGGUUGUAAAGCUCUUUCGUCGGGGAAGAAAAUGACUGUACCCGAAUAAGAAGGUCCGGCUAACUUCGUGCCAGCAGCCGCGGUAAUACGAAGGGACCUAGCGUAGUUCGGAAUUACUGGGCUUAAAGAGUUCGUAGGUGGUUAAAAUAGUUGGUGGUGAAAUCCCAGAGCUUAACUCUGGAACUGCCAUCAAAACUUUUCAGCUAGAGUAUGAUAGAGGAAAGCAGAAUUUCUAGUGUAGAGGUGAAAUUCGUAGAUAUUAGAAAGAAUACCAAAUGCGAAGGCAGCUUUCUGGAUCAUUACUGACACUGAGGAACGAAAGCAUGGGUAGCGAAGAGGAUUAGAUACCCUCGUAGUCCAUGCCGUAAACGAUGUGUGUUAGACGUUGGAAAUUUAUUUUCAGUGUCGCAGGGAAACCGAUAAACACACCGCCUGGGGAGUACGACCGCAAGGUUAAAACUCAAAUGAAUUGACGGGGACCCGCACAAGUAGUGGAGCAUGUGGUUUAAUUCGAAGAUACGCGCAGAACCUUACCAACACUUGACAUGUUCGUCGCGACUCUAAGAGAUUAGAGUUUUCGGUUCGGCCGGACGAAACACAGGUGCUGCAUGGCUGUCGUCAGCUCGUGUCGUGAGAUGUUGGGUUAAGUCCCGCAACGAGCGCAACCCUCACUUUUAGUUGCCAUCAUUAAGUUGGGCACUCUGAAAGAACUGCCAGUGAUAAGCUGGAGGAAGGUGGGGAUGACGUCAAGUCCUCAUGGCCCUUACGUGUUGGGCUACACACGUGCUACAAUGGUAUCUACAACAGGAAGCAAAACUGCGAAGUUAAGCAAAUCCCUAAAAGAUACCUCAGUUCGGAUUGCACUCUGCAACUCGAGCGCAUGAAGCUGGAAUUACUAGUAAUCGUGGAUCAGCGUGCCACGGUGAAUGCGUUCCCGGGUCUUGUACACACCGCCCGUCACACCAUGGGAGUUGGUUCUACCUUAAGGCAAGGUUUCAAACCCUUGACCACGGUAUAGUCAGCGACUGGGGUGAAGUCGUAACAAGGUAACCA
This 1438-nucleotide ribosomal RNA is filed under the name uncultured bacterium. RNAcentral describes it as "bacterial SSU rRNA". It matches the Rfam family "Bacterial small subunit ribosomal RNA". The record is from RNAcentral.